Molecule: non-coding RNA, 813 nt
Organism: Drosophila melanogaster (fruit fly)
Lineage: Eukaryota; Metazoa; Arthropoda; Insecta; Diptera; Drosophilidae
Source: Ensembl
CAGCAAAAAAAUGAAUACUCUGCUUAAAAAAAUGAUGUUUUCUUACUAUUCAGACAGCCUUUCGUACAGCGAAUAUUAAAACCUAUGGUCAAUAUGCGAACAAGGCCUUGCUAUGCCGCAACAACGCUAACGUCCCUCGAAUUGCGCUUGAAAGUAAAAGCCAUCAUAAAGAAACUUCCAGACAUAAAGUCCUAUAAUUACCAACACCCCGAACGUGCCACGAGAUUGGCCCGCCCCUGUGACCAUAUAUCAUAAAACUAUGGCGAGGAGCAAGACGAGAAGAAGCAGCGAAAAAGCAAAAACGAUGAAGAGAAGACAAAGAGGAUGAUGAGGAGAAGAAGCCGCGGGACGUGCAUUUAAUUUUUAGCUGGAACCCUGAUCACAGCGCCAUUUGCGCGGCAUAAAAUCACAAUUGCGGAGUUCGACAUUGCAUUGUUCUCAGUGCAGAUCUGCUUUUCAACCGCCCCGCGGUUGCCCCCACAAAUUGGCGAUAAUGAGCAUUCUGCCGAAAAGGAAACCGAUUGAUUGCCUCCUGCGCCCGCUCCACGUGUUGCCCCUUUCCCUUCCCUCUUCCACUUCCAAUCUCGAUCCGGUUCCUCCGCCACGCCCCGUUUUCGGCUAGCAGCUUCGCAUAAUUUCCAGUAUUCUAUUUCUAUUUCUAUUUCUAUUUCCAGUAAUCAUGAAUUCCCCACUUCGUACUAACAAUUCAUUUUGAUCCUUGUGGCGCCCUGGGGAUUGCGUGCAUUCAAGUCAUACUUUUCGCUGCCGCUUCUGUUUCCGACCCGUGUUUGCCGCUUUUUAACUGCCCAGAUU